GUGCACGCUGGCGGUAGGCCUAACACAUGCAAGUCGAACGGCAGCACAGUAAGAGCUUGCUCUUACGGGUGGCGAGUGGCGGACGGGUGAGGAAUACAUCGGAAUCUACUUUUUCGUGGGGGAUAACGUAGGGAAACUUACGCUAAUACCGCAUACGACCUACGGGUGAAAGCAGGGGAUCUUCGGACCUUGCGCGAUUGAAUGAGCCGAUGUCGGAUUAGCUAGUUGGCGGGGUAAAGGCCCACCAAGGCGACGAUCCGUAGCUGGUCUGAGAGGAUGAUCAGCCACACUGGAACUGAGACACGGUCCAGACUCCUACGGGAGGCAGCAGUGGGGAAUAUUGGACAAUGGGCGCAAGCCUGAUCCAGCCAUACCGCGUGGGUGAAGAAGGCCUUCGGGUUGUAAAGCCCUUUUGUUGGGAAAGAAAAGCAGCAGGUUAACACCCCGCUGUUCUGACGGUACCCAAAGAAUAAGCACCGGCUAACUUCGUG
This 491-nucleotide ribosomal RNA is filed under the name uncultured bacterium. RNAcentral describes it as "partial 16S ribosomal RNA". It matches the Rfam family "Bacterial small subunit ribosomal RNA", at positions 29 to 507 of the family's 1533-position model. The record is from RNAcentral.